RNAcentral lists this ribosomal RNA (419 nucleotides) under Incisitermes schwarzi. Its description in RNAcentral is "partial 16S ribosomal RNA". The stretch from base 1 to 215 matches the Rfam family "Archaeal large subunit ribosomal RNA", at positions 1888 to 2143 of the family's 2987-position model. The record is from RNAcentral. Lineage: Eukaryota; Metazoa; Arthropoda; Insecta; Blattodea; Kalotermitidae.
UCGCCUGUUUAUCAAAAACAUCUCUUCUUGGUUUGUUUUUUGAAGUAUAGCCUGCCCACUGAUAUUGUUUGAAGGGCCGCGGUAUUUUGACCGUGCAAAGGUAGCAUAAUCAUUAGUUCUUUAAUUGUGAACUGGUAUGAAUGGCUUGACGAGGUGCUGACUGUCUUUAUGUUUAAAAGUUUUGUUGAAUUUAGUCUUCGGGUAAAAAUACUCGAAUUUUGUUGUGGGACAGAAGACCUAUAGAGUUUCAUGUAACAUUCUUUUUUUUGUUUGUUAUUUCUUGUUGAGUUUGGUUGCAUUUUGUUGGGGUGAUGAGAAAAUAUGUUUAACUUUUCUUUUUAAUGUUUCACUUAUUUGUGUUUUCAUGAUCCUUUAUUAUUGAUUAUAAGAUUAAAUUACCUUAGGGAUAACAGCGUAAA